GUACUGAAGAGGGACUAAAAAACAAUAAAGAGUUUAUUAAUAUUAAUACCUUUUGUAUCAGGGUUAAUUAAUAUUAGUAAUUAUAGAUAGAUUUCGAAAUUAUUUGAGCUAAAGAAUUUUGAUUUUGUUUGUAUAAAAAAAGGAAGAAAAAGUUCUUUAGAGGUGAUAUUUUUACGGAAAUAAUGAUAUCUAAUUAAAAGCGAAAUAAUUAAUUAUUUUCUUAGAGGAGAUUAAAUUUGAUAGGGUAAGCUUGUCAAGAUAAAAUAUAAAAACAUAUAAUUAUAAAACUAAGCUUUAAAUUAGUUAUGUUUAUAGUUUGUAUUAAAUAAUUAAUUAAAUUAUAAUUAUUUUUUUUAGUUAGCUUUUUAUUUUUUAAGAUUAAAUAAAAAAUUAGAAAAUGAUUAAAUUAGUAUUUUUGUUAAUUGAAAUAUAUUAAUUAAAUUGUACUCUGAUUGUUUAACAAAAACAUUUCUUUCUGUUCAAUAGAAAGUAGGACCUGCCCGGUGAUUGUUUAAACGGCUGCGGUAUUUUGACCGUGCUAAGGUAGCAUAAUAAAUUGUUCUUUAAUUGAGAACUGGAAUGAAAGGUUAGACAGUUUACAAGUUUGUUUAUUUUAAUAAAUGAAUUUUUAUUAUAAGUAAAAAUACUUAUAUAAAAUAAAGGGACGAUAAGACCCUAGAAGCUUUAGUUUGAAAAAUUUAAGAGUGAUUUUAUUAAUAAUCUGAGGUUUGAAUAACUUUGAUUGGGGAAAUAAAAAUUUUUAAAAUAAUUUUUGUAAAAAUUAAUUAAUUUUUGAAUGAUCUUUUAAAUAAAAAAGAAAUGAAAAAGUUACUCUAGGGAUAACAGCGUAAUAAUUUUGGAUAGGCCUUAUAUAUAGAAUUGAUUAUGACCUCGAUGUUGAAUUAAAAUAUCUUUAUAAAGUAGAAAUUAUAAGAGAAGGUUUGUUCAACCUUUAAAUUUUUACAUGAUUUGAGUUCAGACCGGUUUAAGCCAGGUCGGUUUCUAUCUUUUAUAAUUUAAUAAUUAUUUUAGUACGAAAGGACCAAAUAAUUUUAAUAUUU
RNAcentral lists this ribosomal RNA (1061 nucleotides) under Metacrangonyx panousei. RNAcentral's name for it is "16S ribosomal RNA". The stretch from base 839 to 997 matches the Rfam family "Archaeal large subunit ribosomal RNA", at positions 2542 to 2701 of the family's 2987-position model. The record is from RNAcentral. Lineage: Eukaryota; Metazoa; Arthropoda; Malacostraca; Amphipoda; Metacrangonyctidae.